AGCAGCCGCCGCGGGAAUACGGAGGGGGCUAGCGUUGUUCGGAAUUACUGGGCGUAAAGCGUGCGCAGGCGGUUAUAUAAGACAGAUGUGAAAUCCCCGGGCUCAACCUGGGACCUGCAUUUGUGACUGUAUAGCUAGAGUACGGUAGAGGGGGAUGGAAUUCCGCGUGUAGCAGUGAAAUGCGUAGAUAUGCGGAGGAACACCGAUGGCGAAGGCAAUCCCCUGGACCUGUACUGACGCUCAUGCACGAAAGCGUGGUGAGCAAACAGGAUUAGAUACCCGUGUAGUCCCUGUCUCUUAUAC
RNAcentral lists this ribosomal RNA (303 nucleotides) under uncultured bacterium. RNAcentral describes it as "partial 16S ribosomal RNA". It matches the Rfam family "Bacterial small subunit ribosomal RNA", at positions 507 to 807 of the family's 1533-position model. The record is from RNAcentral.